Lolium rigidum is the source of this 2840-nucleotide long non-coding RNA. RefSeq lists it as uncharacterized. NCBI's taxonomy places the organism in Eukaryota, Viridiplantae, Streptophyta, Magnoliopsida, Poales, Poaceae. The record is from RefSeq and is a predicted model, not a curated record. The transcript is spliced from 7 exons.
GCCGCCGCUGCUCCAUCGAUUCCCAGCGCAGCGGGGGUCAGCCCGUCGUCUCUCCUCCUCUUCCUAUCUCCUCUCACUUCUCCACCGAUCCCCACCUCUGCAACCUCUAUCCAUGCCUCAGGAGAGCUUGUCCGCCCCCAUCCAGCUAGGUUGCAGAGAUUGGGAAAGACGGUGAGGGAUUGUGGCCAUUGGCGCUGGACCUCCUGGCGGCAUCACCGACGGGCCAGAGGCCUCCGAGGCUCCGACCGAUGUGGAGGAGAAUACCACCAAUGCGGCGGGGGUAAACCCUAGCGCGACAGAACAAUGUGCAGAAGUGUUUGUGGUGAUGGGAUUAAUAAUGCUAUUUGAGUAUCAACAAUGAAUGUUGAUGAAACUCCACUGUAUAUUCUUGAAAUUAAGGGUUAUGUUCAACAAUUCUGAUCACAGAAGAAGAAGAAAUAGCGGAAUGCCUUUUUUCUGCCCCUGAUUGGUGACAUGACUCGCUGUUCUGACAAACCAAGGGCCUCUUCAUGAAUUAAACUGUUAUCCGUAAUCCGAGGAAGCUAACUAAAAUGCUUGUAGCUCUCCUCAUGUAGCCUGAUGUGGUCUUUUUUCCUUCUUCAGCUCUACAUGUUUGUGAGAUACCUUUCUAGCUCACUUUAUUUGUGAUAAAGUUUCCCGUGAUUGCAGGGUCAUCCUCUAUUAAGAGGUUAAAUGGAAGUAGGAUGCACUACUUGGAAUCUUGGACACACUCUAGAAGAUAAGAAGGAAUGCCCCAUGUUAAUUAAAAAUAGGAAAGACGUGGGAGAUCAAGGAGGCUAAUGUUGUGGAGGCUCGCCUGCUAUGGCCAAAGUGUGCCCCUCUUCGCACCCGAUUGUUUAUGAUUCAGGUACAUCUGAUUGUACCCUCUAAUUAUUUUGGUUCAGGUUUAAUUUCGAGGAAGAAGACGAAGUUUGAUGUUCCAGGUUCCAUGUGAUCAUGUGAAUACCUGAAAACCAAACAGAAGCUGAUAUUGGGUUGUAAUUUCUAGGUCUACUCAUGUUGAUAUCCGCUCCUGCUUUUCUUUGAUGAGUUCUUUAUGCUUCAUGUCCUUUGUUGGAAAUGCAAUGCAAUGCUUCGCUGGUUAAUGUUGAAUGCAGUCCUACCAUAGCACACAUGAUUUUAUUGUCAUUACCAUAGUUUUGCUCGCAGCUAAGAGUUUCCAGCCUUUAGGUACAUAUAUGUAUGGCCAUAUAGUUGUUCAAGUAUUCUUUAAUUGAAUACGUGUGCUACCUCUUUUGUAGUGUACUUACUGGUUAUCCUUUGUUGAUGUUUUCGCUCAAUAGAAACAGAGAAGCUUUUAUCCUCACUGCUCCCAACCCUCUGUGAGAUGUUCUUUUCAUCUAAUAUUUCUAUAUGGUUAUGUGCAUGUUAAUAGGUUCUUCUGCAGCUCCUCUUCCUCUACUGUCCGUUGUUGCGCCUGAUGCACUCUGCUCCUACAUGAACUGGAGGUUGGUCUAUGGUGCCGCCCCCCGUGCUGCCACCAUUUCUCGACACCCCACAAGCUUGAUCCCGCCGUUUUGAAGCUACUUGUCCACUGGAUCCUUCACCGGGUGUGACCUUUAGCAAGGUCUGUGUUGCAGGAAGUCUUGUGGCUGGUGCCUGGUGGAUAGGAACACGUGAUUGGAUGUUUGCCAAGGAUCUUUCCAUGAGCAUUUGACCAGGUAAUUUAUUGCUACUACAAAAAGUAUAUGAAAUAAUCAUAGAACUGGAGGAAUAUGAGACAGUAUAUAUGAAAUAGUCAUAGAACUGCAGUAGUUAAAUGUUUGCACCAAUCCUUCCUUUGGAAUUUAAAGAGAUAUCAAGUUUAGGUCAUAUCAAGGGAUUGGUUUGUUGCUCAUUUUUCCAUAUCUUAGGUGUGUAUUGAUCUCCUAUCAAUUCUCAGUGUUACAAACUGACGCGUAGUAGUGUUGUUAGUAAAUAUACUCUUCCUUAGUACAAGUAAUCAUGUCUUUGUUAAAUUGGCUGCCCCAAAUAAAAUACUUAAAUACAAAGUAAUAGUGUCAGGAUGAAAUUUGUUUCCCCUGAACCUCUUGAUUUUUUCUAUUUUGCGGAGCUAUUAAUUGUAUUGGACCACAUGAGAAUUUCUGAUGUGGAUACAAUUCCUUAAUUUAAUGGCCUGUGGUAAGUGGGUAUAUUCACAAAUGAGCUUGCCAUGGACCAGCUAUGCCAUAACAGGUUGUGCAGCGUAAGUUGUUGCUGAUGUUCGGUGAGCCAGGGUCUUUCUGCACUGUCAAUACAGAAACAUGAGCUUCUGUUCAAUUAUAUUUGAGUGCUCUUACUUCUUGCUGAUGACUUCAUAUAUGAGCCUACAGCUAUACUGCGAACUUGAAACUGACCCGCUGGGAUGCAAGCCUGUCACCAGGUAAUGACUCUCCCAGGCCCCUUCAAGUUCCCAUUAGAAGUUGCAAAGAGAAGACAAUGAAAACUCCGGGAAUCAUCUCAAGGGUCUCCAUUUGAUAUGGCUACGAUAAGAAAGGUGGUUCUAAGAUAUGGGGACCAGAAGCGAAUUGACACCGCCAAAGUGUGUGUCGUGUCCCUGGCUCAGAUUUUGCAACACACUGGAGAAAACGAGGAAGGCUGAUGCUCUGUUUUUUGUUUUCCAUUGUCGCUUAGGAAUUAGUAUAGAGGGGAACCAUAUUUACCUAUCAUAAAAUAUUAUUUUGAUGCUUCCUCUUCGUUUUGCAUCUUUUUGUAAGUUUGAUCAUAAGCUGGGUUACAUCAAUACGUUAGCCUAUCAUGCACUGUUUAACCUAACCUGAUACAGACUGAUUUUGUAUUACACUGCAAAUCUUGUGACUUUGAACAAAAGAAGCAUACUC